RNAcentral lists this ribosomal RNA (480 nucleotides) under uncultured bacterium. RNAcentral describes it as "bacterial SSU rRNA". It matches the Rfam family "Bacterial small subunit ribosomal RNA", at positions 50 to 507 of the family's 1533-position model. The record is from RNAcentral.
AACACAUGCAAGUCGAACGGUAACAGGCCGCUGCGAUCCCUUCGGGGUGAGCUUGGCGCUGACGAGUGGCGGACGGGUGAGUAAUACUUGGGAAUCUGCCCAGUAGUGGGGACAACCCGGUGAAAACCGGGCUAAUACCGCAUACGUCCUACGGGAGAAAGUGGGGGAUCUUCGGACCUCACGCUAUUGGAUGAGCCCAAGUCGGAUUAGCUUGUUGGUGGGGUAAUGGCUUACCAAGGCGACGAUCCGUAGCUGGUCUGAGAGGACGAUCAGCCACACUGGGACUGAGACACGGCCCAGACUCCUACGGGAGGCAGCAGUGGGAAUAUUGGACAAGUGGGGCAACCCUGAUCCAGCAAUGCCGCGUGUGUGAAGAAGGCCUGCGGGUUAGUAAAGCUACUUUCAGUAGAGAAGAAAGCCGUGGGAUAACUACCCCGGGUCUUGACGUAACCUACAGAAGAAGCACCGGCUAACUCCGUG